AAGUCGUAACAAGGUUUCCGUAGGUGAACCUGCGGAAGGAUCAUUAACACGUUUCCAACGUUAAAACCCCUGUGAACUUUCAGCCUGCUCUUGGCCCGUGUGAAGCAGCAAUUCCGGUAAAUCAAGUGGGAGGAACAGUUUUGAUUCGGAACCUCUGCUCCAUAUGCGCACGCUGCAAUUGAGCGGUAGAAGCAGUGGCAUGGCGUCCCCAAGCCUCCAGUGAAUGAAAGUGUCACUGGAAAGUGUAAGGAUAACGCUUCUCGGUUACAGGGUCACCGCGCCCCUAAUCACUCCCUCUGAACCGUACGCCGGCGCCGUUGAAAAGCUGCGCUAAAAAAAACCGAACAACUGUUAACAAUGGAUAUCUUGGUUCCC
This 375-nucleotide unclassified non-coding RNA is filed under the name fungal sp. RNAcentral's name for it is "partial internal transcribed spacer region". The stretch from base 1 to 46 matches the Rfam family "Eukaryotic small subunit ribosomal RNA", at positions 1786 to 1831 of the family's 1831-position model. Lineage: Eukaryota; Fungi. The record is from RNAcentral.